Molecule: non-coding RNA, 643 nt
Organism: Prunus avium (sweet cherry)
Lineage: Eukaryota; Viridiplantae; Streptophyta; Magnoliopsida; Rosales; Rosaceae
Source: RefSeq, a predicted model, not a curated record
UCAAAACUGAAUUAUUACUCACAUGCUUUACCCUUUAGUGUGUUUAAGACCCUGGACCUUGGUGUCCGGGUUCAAAUCUCUGGGCGCCCAAACCAGAAGGAGAACGACGACCAUUGGGAGAUGAUGGAGGAGGUUCAGCGGAGUUUGCUUUUCGUGUCGAAGCCCAAGGCGUGUACGGAGCACGAAGAGAUGGAGCAGGACAGCGGGGGAUCGUCGAAGGAGAUGGAGUCGCCGAGGUCGAUUGGGCGAUGGAGGCGGAGGGCGAAGAGGGAGGGGUCCGUGCAUAGCCAGAUCUUGAGAAUUAGGGAGGAGGACGCGCAUCUCGGUGAGAUAUGAGAAGUCCUUACCUGAUGGUAAGGUCAAGCAAGUAUUUUUUUUUUAUCCCGAUGGCAAUGGAUUGGAGGUUGCAGGUCAAUGAACUCGACACCGACACAGAAGGCUGCUCAAAAUGGUCAAGUAGAUUCACAUGAAGCAGAUGAUCUGUAAAUCUUACUAAGAUUUUCUUACAGUACAGACAAUAAGUUGCAAUGGCCAUUUUCAUCUAUCUAGUUGUACCUCAAGGGUUCUUGUAGUUAUGAUGUUUUGCCAAUUGACACAUACUGGACAUUUGAAGUUUAAUCUAUUUCAGUCCUGAUAAUUGACA